UACGGGGGGGGCAAGCGUUGUUCGGAAUUACUGGGCGUAAAGGGCGCGUAGGCGGUUUGCUAAGUUGGAUGUGAAAACUCUGGGCUUAACCCAGAGCCUGCAUCCAAAACUGGCGAACUGGAGUACUGGAGGGGAAAGCGGAAUUCCUGGUGUAGCGGUGAAAUGCGUAGAUAUCAGGAGGAACACCGGUGGCGAAGGCGGCUUUCUGGACAGUAACUGACGCUGAGGCGCGAAAGCUAGGGGAGCAAACAGG
Molecule: ribosomal RNA, 253 nt
Filed under: uncultured bacterium
Lineage: Bacteria
Description: partial 16S ribosomal RNA
Rfam family: Bacterial small subunit ribosomal RNA
Source: RNAcentral